GGUCCUGUAGGUGACGACAUGUUCCACUGGCAGGCAACAAUCAUGGGGCCCUCAGACAGCCCGUUCACAGGUGGUCUAUUUUUGGUGAACAUUCAUUUCCCACCGGAUUACCCCUUCAAGCCCCCCAAGGUAAUUUCCGGUGUACCAAGCUAA
This 153-nucleotide ribosomal RNA is filed under the name Triticum aestivum (bread wheat). RNAcentral's name for it is "partial small subunit ribosomal RNA". Lineage: Eukaryota; Viridiplantae; Streptophyta; Magnoliopsida; Poales; Poaceae. The record is from RNAcentral.